GCCAAGGAGGGGCCAGCGGCGGGGGUAGGACGUAGGGGUGGAGCGUGGUCCGGAUUGAUUGGGCGUAAAGAGCUCGUAGGCGGCUGGUCGCGUCGACUGUGAAAACCCGUGGCUCAACCAUGUGGUCUGCAGUCGAUACGGGCAGGCUAGAAUUCGGUAGGGGAGACUGGAAUUCCUGGGGUAGCGGUGAAAUGCGCAGAUAUCAGGAGGAACACCGGUGGCGAAGGCGGGUCUCUGGGCCGAUAUUGACGCUGAGGAGCGAAAGCGUGGGGAGCGAACAGGAUUAGAUACCCAGUAGUC
RNAcentral lists this ribosomal RNA (300 nucleotides) under uncultured Acidilobus sp. Its description in RNAcentral is "bacterial SSU rRNA". It matches the Rfam family "Bacterial small subunit ribosomal RNA", at positions 496 to 795 of the family's 1533-position model. The record is from RNAcentral. Lineage: Archaea; Thermoproteati; Thermoproteota; Thermoprotei; Acidilobales; Acidilobaceae.